Molecule: ribosomal RNA, 519 nt
Filed under: uncultured Glomeromycotina
Lineage: Eukaryota; Fungi; Glomeromycota
Description: SSU rRNA
Rfam family: Eukaryotic small subunit ribosomal RNA
Source: RNAcentral
AGCAGCCGCGGUAAUUCCAGCUCCAAUAGCGUAUAUUAAAGUUGUUGCAGUUAAAAAGCUCGUAGUUGAAUUUCGGGAUUAGUACGCUGGUCAUGCCUUUGGUAUGUACUGGUGUUACUGAUUCCUACCUUCUGAGGAACCGUUAUGUCAUUCAUUUGGUGUGGCGGGGAAUCAGGACUGUUACUUUGAAAAAUUAGAGUGUUUAAAGCAGGCUCGCGCUUGAAUACAUUAGCAUGGAAUAAUGAAAUAGGACGUUGAUCCUAUUUUGUUGGUUUCUAGGAUUGACGUAAUGAUUAAUAGGGAUAGUUGGGGGCAUUAGUAUUCAAUUGUCAGAGGUGAAAUUCUUGGAUUUAUUGAAGACUAACUACUGCGAAAGCAUUUGCCAAGGAUGUUUUCAUUAAUCAAGAACGAAAGUUAGGGGAUCGAAGACGAUCAGAUACCGUCGUAGUCUUAACCAUAAACUAUGCCGACUAGGGAUCGGAUGAUGUUAAUUUUAAUGUACUCAUUCGGCGCCUUAAC